GCCGGGCGUUGUGGCGAGCGCUUGUAAUCCAAGUGACUGGGAGGCUUGGUACGGUGGAUGGAGUGAGAGAAGGGGCCCUGGUUGGUGCUUGGCGAUGACGACCGAGCGUCCAGGCUAAGCGUGGCGUCAAUAAGGUUACAUAUCGGGAACGUCAUGUGACCUGGUUGAACAAUGAGGGGCGUACGGCUCAGGGCCGAAAGGCAGCAGGCAAAAGUCCCCGCGUCAUGACAGUGGCCGGAUAGCGCUUGCGAGUCGUCAACACCAUUCAGCCUUCUCAAUACCUUCAGACCCGCUCCUUA
Molecule: signal recognition particle RNA, 299 nt
Filed under: Thelazia callipaeda (thelaziosis nematode)
Lineage: Eukaryota; Metazoa; Nematoda; Chromadorea; Rhabditida; Thelaziidae
Description: Metazoan signal recognition particle RNA
Rfam family: Metazoan signal recognition particle RNA
About the family: The signal recognition particle (SRP) is a universally conserved ribonucleoprotein. It is involved in the co-translational targeting of proteins to membranes.
Source: Rfam by way of RNAcentral